This is a long non-coding RNA of Lagopus leucura (white-tailed ptarmigan), 382 nucleotides long. RefSeq lists it as uncharacterized. The record is from RefSeq and is a predicted model, not a curated record. NCBI's taxonomy places the organism in Eukaryota, Metazoa, Chordata, Aves, Galliformes, Phasianidae. The transcript has 2 exons.
GCCCGCUCUCGGUUCCGUUCCCCACCAGAGCUCCCUGCAGAUCCGCGCUCUGCACCGCGGUUUCGCUGAGCCCAGCGCGCUGCACUUCGACACCAUCAGGGUGCUGGGGCAGAGCGGCGCCGUGCAGCAGCUCCGCGUCUACGAGAACGGAGCUCAGCUGCCAUCGCAGCACGUCCUGCUGUACGACAGCGCGACGCAGGUCCUUUUGGUCACGCAGCUUGCACUGGAGUUAGGCAGGGAUUACACGCUGGAGUGGAGCUGAGCCUGCAGAUGUUGCUGCUUCAGAACCACACCAGUCCCUCACCUCCCCUCCUUGCGACCCCAAAUCCUCUUCCUGUUCUCCUUCUCUCAGAUUUGUGUAAUAUAUUUUAAUUGUGCAAAG